This 254-nucleotide ribosomal RNA is filed under the name uncultured bacterium. Its description in RNAcentral is "partial 16S ribosomal RNA". It matches the Rfam family "Bacterial small subunit ribosomal RNA", at positions 524 to 776 of the family's 1533-position model. The record is from RNAcentral.
UACGUAGGGGGCAAGCGUUGUUCGGAAUUACUGGGCGUAAAGGGCGCGCAGGCGGCUGCUCAAGUCAGGCGUGAAAGGCCUGGGCUCAACCCGGGAAUUGCGCUUGAGACUGGGCUGGCUUGAGUGCGGGAGAGGAUGGUGGAAUUCCCAGUGUAGAGGUGAAAUUCGUAGAUAUCGAGAGGAACACCGGUGGCGAAGGCGGCCAACUGGACGAAUACUGACGCUGAGACACGAAAGCGUGGGGAGCAAACAGG